UUGAAUUGAAGAGUUUGAUCAUGGCUCAGAUUGAACGCUGGCGGCAGGCUUAACACAUGCAAGUCGAGCGGU
The sequence is a ribosomal RNA, 72 nucleotides long. It matches the Rfam family "Bacterial small subunit ribosomal RNA", at positions 1 to 70 of the family's 1533-position model.